UGUAGAAUCCUGUCUUGAGGGGCUG
Molecule: unclassified non-coding RNA, 25 nt
Filed under: Mus musculus (house mouse)
Lineage: Eukaryota; Metazoa; Chordata; Mammalia; Rodentia; Muridae
Description: oocyte_clustered_small_RNA5081
Source: RNAcentral